UAAUGUAGUACAAAAAAAAGCACC
Molecule: non-coding RNA, 24 nt
Filed under: Cricetulus griseus (Chinese hamster)
Lineage: Eukaryota; Metazoa; Chordata; Mammalia; Rodentia; Cricetidae
Source: RNAcentral